CCUACGGGUGGCAGCAGUGAGGAAUAUUGGUCAAUGGACGCAAGUCUGAACCAGCCAUGCCGCGUGCAGGAAGACGGCUCUAUGAGUUGUAAACUGCUUUUGUACGAGAGUAAACGCAGAUACGCGUAUCUGUCUGAGAGUAUCGUACGAAUAAGGAUCGGCUAACUCCGUGCCAGCAGCCGCGGUAAUACGGAGGAUGCAAGCGUUAUCCGGAUUUAUUGGGUUUAAAGGGUGCGUAGGCGGUCGGUUAAGUUAGAGGUGAAAUCCCGGGGCUCAACUUCGGAAUUGCCGCUGAUACUGGUAGGCUAGAGAGCAGGUGAGGUAGGCGGAAUGCAUGGUGUAGCGGUGAAAUGCUUAGAGAGCACGCAGAACCCCGAUUGCGAAGGCAGCUUAC
RNAcentral lists this ribosomal RNA (394 nucleotides) under uncultured bacterium. RNAcentral's name for it is "partial 16S ribosomal RNA". It matches the Rfam family "Bacterial small subunit ribosomal RNA", at positions 338 to 729 of the family's 1533-position model. The record is from RNAcentral.